GUGGGGAAUCUUCCGCAAUGGACGAAAGUCUGACGGAGCAACGCCGCGUGAGUGAAGAAGGUUUUCGGAUCGUAAAGCUCUUUCGUUAGGGACGAACGUGCUCUUUGUGAAUAAUGAGGAGUAAUGACGGUACCUAAAUAAGAAGCCACGGCUAGCUACGUGCCAGCAGCCGCGGUAAUACGUAGGUGGCAAGCGUUGUCCGGAAUUAUCGGGCGUAAAGCGCGCGCAGGCGGGAUAUCAAGUCUGUCUUAAAAGUGCGAGGCUCAACCUCGUGAGGGGACAGAAACUGGUAUUCUUGAGUGUCGGAGAGGAAAGUGGAAUUCCAAGUGUAGCGGUGAAAUGCGUAGAGAUUUGGAAGAACACCAGUGGCGAAGGCGACUUUCUGGACGAUGUCUGACGCUGAGGCGCGAAAGCUAGGGGAGCGAACGGGAUUAGAAACCCUAGUAGUCC
This 450-nucleotide ribosomal RNA is filed under the name uncultured bacterium. RNAcentral describes it as "partial 16S ribosomal RNA". It matches the Rfam family "Bacterial small subunit ribosomal RNA", at positions 354 to 796 of the family's 1533-position model. The record is from RNAcentral.